RNAcentral lists this transfer RNA (86 nucleotides) under Schizophyllum commune H4-8. Its description in RNAcentral is "tRNA-Ala". It matches the Rfam family "tRNA". Rfam says of the family: Transfer RNA (tRNA) molecules are approximately 80 nucleotides in length. Lineage: Eukaryota; Fungi; Basidiomycota; Agaricomycetes; Agaricales; Schizophyllaceae. The record is from Rfam by way of RNAcentral.
GGGCUUGUGGUACAGUGGUAGCACGUUCGCUUAGCAUCUUCACAGAGGCCUGCGAAAGGUCCUGGGUUCAAUUCCCAGCAAGUCCA